This 254-nucleotide non-coding RNA is filed under the name Sporosarcina psychrophila. RNAcentral describes it as "T-box sequence". It matches the Rfam family "T-box leader". From Rfam's summary of the family: Uncharged tRNA acts as the effector for transcription antitermination of genes in the T-box leader family. T-boxes are found upstream of many aminoacyl-tRNA synthetase genes and some amino acid biosynthetic genes usually in Gram-positive bacteria. The anticodon of a specific tRNA base pairs to a specifier sequence within the T-box motif, and the NCCA acceptor tail of the tRNA base pairs to a conserved bulge in the T-box antiterminator hairpin. Lineage: Bacteria; Bacillati; Bacillota; Bacilli; Caryophanales; Caryophanaceae. The record is from RNAcentral.
UCAAAUGCGUCGAAGAGAAGAGUAGCUAACGUUCAUUCUUUGCAGAAAGCUCCGGUUGCUGAAAAGGAGUAAGAAUGCGUUAUCGAAACAAGUCUCUGAGCAUCACUCCGGAACCAGCAAUGGGGAUAGAGUGACAGGAGCUCCUGUUAUAGAGCCAGGGUAUACGCAUCUAUUUGCCGUACCUGAUAAGGUUACGAUGGAAACAUCGUAAUAAACUGGGGUGGCACCACGAUUGAUACAAUCUCGUCCUCAAG